UUCCCCCGUCAGAAGGUAGAGGGAGAGCAGUCCUUCCCUAAAGAAAGGCACCUGUAGAGUGCCGCUGUUACCACAGGCCCCUGGGCCCUUCUCUGUAAUGUACACUCCCUUUCUUGUUUUCUCUAGAGGCUUUUUUUUUCUUUUCUGCUUCUUUUUUCCCAUCUCAUUCUUUGCCCUGUCUCAUUGCGGGAUCAUGACUUAGAGCUUGCUGACUCCCAUUGCACCAGCUGGCUCGGCUGUUCUUCUCUGGGAAAUGCUGUUUCACAGGGCUGGGGAGACUGUGAGCUUUUCUUGGAGAUCCUACUGGAGGUCCUGCCUGUGUUCUUGCCCUGUCUCAGAUGGUGCAGAGGAGGCGGCUGGUUCAUGCGCACAAGCCCCAUCCCACAGCCCUCCCAACAAACCCAAGCUGGUGGUGAAGCCUCCAGGCAGCAGCCUCAAUGGGGUUCCCCCCAACCCCACUCCCAUUGUCCAGCGGCUGCCGGCCUUUCUAGACAAUCACAAUUAUGCCAAGUCCCCCAUGCAGGAGGAAGAAGACCUGGCGGCAGGUGUGGGCCGCAGCCGAGUUCCAGUCCGCCCACCCCAGCAGUACUCAGAUGACGAGGAUGACUAUGAGGAUGAUGAGGAGGAUGACGUGCAGAACACCAACUCUGCCCUUAGGUAUAAGGGGAAGGGAACAGGGAAGCCAGGGGCAUUGAGCGGUUCUGCUGAUGGGCAACUGUCAGUGCUGCAGCCCAACACCAUCAACGUCUUGGCUGAGAAGCUCAAAGAGUCCCAGAAGGACCUCUCAAUUCCUCUGUCCAUCAAGACUAGCAGUGGGGCUGGGAGUCCAGCUGUGGCAGUGCCCACACA
RNAcentral lists this small RNA (849 nucleotides) under Pongo abelii (Sumatran orangutan). Its description in RNAcentral is "retained intron". Lineage: Eukaryota; Metazoa; Chordata; Mammalia; Primates; Hominidae. The record is from RNAcentral.